This 893-nucleotide ribosomal RNA is filed under the name uncultured euryarchaeote. RNAcentral's name for it is "bacterial SSU rRNA". It matches the Rfam family "Archaeal small subunit ribosomal RNA", at positions 21 to 922 of the family's 1478-position model. Lineage: Archaea; Methanobacteriati; Methanobacteriota. The record is from RNAcentral.
AGGCUACUGCUAUCGGGAUUCGAUUAAGCCAUGCGAGUCGAGAGGGUUCGGCCCUCGGCUGACGGCUCAGUAACACGUGGAUAACCUGCCCUCAGGUAGGGGAUAAUCUCGGGAAACUGAGGAUAAUACCCUAUAGACAUCCUUUGCUGGAAUGCUUGGAUGUUCAAAGGCGACGCCUGAGGAUGGGUCUGCGGCCUAUCAGGUAGUAGUGGGUGUAACGGACCCACUAGCCUACGACGGGUACGGGCCUUGAAAGAGGUAGCCCGGAGAUGGACUCUGAGACACGAGUCCAGGCCCUACGGGGCGCAGCAGGCGCGAAAACUUCGCAAUGCGGGAAACCGUGACGAGGGAAUCCCGAGUGCUCAUACAAUGUAUGGGCUUUUAUGAUGUGUAAAAAGCAUUAGGAAUAAGGGCUGGGUAAGACCGGUGCCAGCCGCCGCGGUAAUACCGGCAGCUCUAGUGGUAGCCACUUUUAUUGGGCCUAAAGCGUCCGUAGCCUGUCAAGUAAAUCCUUGGGUAAAUCGUACAGCUUAACUGUGCGGCUUCCGAGGAGACUGCUUGACUUGGGACCGGGAGAGGUUGGAGGUACUCCUGGGGUAGGGGUGAAAUCCUGUAAUCCUAGGUGGACCACCGGUGGCGAAGGCGUCCAACCAGAACGGCUCCGACGGUGAGGGACGAAGGCUAGGGGCGCAAACCGGAUUAGAUACCCGGGUAGUCCUAGCUGUAAACGCUGCAGACUUGGUGUUGGAGAUCCUACGAGGGUGUCCAGUGCCGGAGAGAAGUUGUUAAGUUUGCCGCCUGGGAAGUAUGGCCGCAAGGCUGAAACUUAAAGGAAUUGGCGGGGGAGCACCGCAACGGGAGGAGCGUGCGGUUUAAUUGGAUUCAACGCCGGG